RNAcentral lists this ribosomal RNA (425 nucleotides) under uncultured bacterium. RNAcentral's name for it is "partial 16S ribosomal RNA". It matches the Rfam family "Bacterial small subunit ribosomal RNA", at positions 354 to 796 of the family's 1533-position model. The record is from RNAcentral.
GUGGGGAAUCUUAGACAAUGGGGGAAACCCUGAUCUAGCCAUGCCGCGUGAUCGAUGAAGGCCUUAGGGUUGUAAAGAUCUUUCAGCUGGGAAGAUAAUGACGGUACCAGCAGAAGAAGCCCCGGCUAACUCCGUGCCAGCAGCCGCGGUAAUACGGAGGGGGCUAGCGUUAUUCGGAAUUACUGGGCGUAAAGCGCACGUAGGCGGAUCAGAAAGUCAGAGGUGAAAUCCCAGGGCUCAACCUUGGAACGGCCUUUGAAACUCCUGGUCUUGAGUUCGAGAGAGGUGAGUGGAAUUCCGAGUGUAGAGGUGAAAUUCGUAGAGAUUCGGAGGAACACCAGUGGCGAAGGCGGCUCACUGGCUCGAUACUGACGCUGAGGCGCGAAAGCGUGGGGAGCAAACAGGAUUAGAUACCCGUGUAGUCC